CGGGUUGUAAAGCUCUUUCGGCUGGGAAGAAGGGAGUAAGUGCUAACAGUACUUGCUUUUGAUGGUACUAGAAGAAGAAGCACCGGCUAACUUCGUGC
RNAcentral lists this ribosomal RNA (98 nucleotides) under uncultured bacterium. RNAcentral's name for it is "partial 16S ribosomal RNA". The record is from RNAcentral.